The sequence is a transfer RNA, 73 nucleotides long. It matches the Rfam family "tRNA". Rfam says of the family: Transfer RNA (tRNA) molecules are approximately 80 nucleotides in length. Their secondary structure includes four short double-helical elements and three loops (D, anti-codon, and T loops). The record is from Rfam.
GGGUCAGUAACUUAAUAGGUAAAGGCUAUCCUUGUCGAGGAUGGAGAUGCCGGAUCGUAUCCGGUCUGACUCG